UACGGGGGGGGCAAGCGUUGUUCGGAAUUACUGGGCGUAAAGGGCGCGUAGGCGGUUGGAUAAGUCAGCUGUGAAAACCACGGGCUUAACUCGUGGCCUGCAGUUGAGACUGUCUGGCUUGAGUGUGGGAGAGGAGAGUGGAAUUCCUGGUGUAGCGGUGAAAUGCGCAGAUAUCUGGAGGAACACCGGUGGCGAAGGCGGCAUCCUGGACCAACACUGACGCUGAGUGAGCGAAAGCCAGGGGAGCAAACGGG
This 254-nucleotide ribosomal RNA is filed under the name uncultured bacterium. Its description in RNAcentral is "partial 16S ribosomal RNA". It matches the Rfam family "Bacterial small subunit ribosomal RNA", at positions 524 to 776 of the family's 1533-position model. The record is from RNAcentral.